GCACAAUCUUAUUAAAAAUUUAGUUAGAAAAUAUUGAAAGAGGUUUCGCUGCAUUAUAAAAAUUUAAUUUACUCGGAUGAAUGUGAAAUAGUGGUAGAGAUAAAUAUUAUAUUGGAAAAAGGGAGCUAAUAAGUGAUAACCGAUAAAUAGGUAACUGCAACAAUCGAUUGCAACAAAUGUUCAAUAUUCGUCACCGUUUUACGCGCUGUAAAGGCACACGGGCGAAUUGAAUGAUAGUGAGUCAGUUUUUGCAUGACACGAUCAGCUGUCACUCUGCUUAAAUGAAAUCAGCGCUGAAAUAAAGAUAAUCAGAGUUGCUGUGUGCUGCCAGAAGUCACAGCGUCUACCAAAGUUCAACAAAUAUGCAACAGCAGCCAUAAAAAUGUCUAUGAAAUAUAAGAACCACAAAUCAUAGUGCGAAAUCCAACAUAUUAUAUAUACACACAUAUGUAUUUAUACAUGUUUAAGUAAC
Long non-coding RNA from Bactrocera tryoni, 472 nucleotides. RefSeq lists it as uncharacterized. The record is from RefSeq and is a predicted model, not a curated record. Lineage: Eukaryota; Metazoa; Arthropoda; Insecta; Diptera; Tephritidae. The transcript has 5 exons.